Molecule: ribosomal RNA, 498 nt
Filed under: uncultured bacterium
Lineage: Bacteria
Description: partial 16S ribosomal RNA
Rfam family: Bacterial small subunit ribosomal RNA
Source: RNAcentral
GACGAACGCUGGCGGCGUGCUUAACACAUGCAAGUCGAACGGGCCCGCCCCUGUUUUUGGGGGUGGGUUGAGUGGCGAACGGGUGAGUAUCACGUGAGUAACCUGCCCCCUGCUCCUGGAUAACUGCUUGAAAGGGCGGCUAAUACGGGGUGUGCCGGCUGUUCCGCAUGGGCCUGGUCGGGAUAGUUUCAUCUUCGGGUGUUUCGGUGGGGGAUGGGCUCGCGGCCUAUCAGCUUGUUGGUGGGGUGAUGGCCCACCAAGGCGGUGACGGGUAGCCGGCCUGAGAGGGUGGGAGGCCGGAAUGGUCAGAGGCACCGCCCAGACUCCGGCGGGAGGCGGCGGGGGGGUGUAUUGAACAAUGGGCGGAAGCCUGAUGCAGCGACGUCGCGUGAGGGAUGGAGGCCUUCGGGUUGGGAACCUCUUUCGCCGGGGGUGAAGGCCCUGUCCGUUGCGGCGGGGUUGACGGUAGCCGGGGAUGAAGCGCCGGCUAACUACGUG